Falco peregrinus (peregrine falcon) is the source of this 913-nucleotide long non-coding RNA. RefSeq lists it as uncharacterized. The transcript is spliced from 3 exons. The record is from RefSeq and is a predicted model, not a curated record. NCBI's taxonomy places the organism in Eukaryota, Metazoa, Chordata, Aves, Falconiformes, Falconidae.
UGUGCGUGUAUUCCCGUCGUCAGGCUCACCUCGGUGCCUGGCACACCAAAGCUGUGGUUCCCGCCGGGGGGACAGCGGCAGGGCUCGCUCCCGCGCCUCAGGGCUCAGCGUUUAUUCCUGCCUGGUUAGUUUUCCUCAGGUAGCAGGUUUGGUUUCCCCCAGCCGAAGGUGGGCCGGGGUGUGAUCCCACUCCCACAAAGGGGCAGGUGGCCCUAGCACAGCAAGGCCCCUGCCCCAAACCACACGUGGAAAAGUUAGGAAAAGUUAACAUGAUGCCCGCUUUCUCCGACUGCAUCUGCCCCAAAGGCUGGAGGCCAAAGUAGGCCCACCUGGGAUGGUAAAAGGGGCUAAUUCAACUCCCUGUUAUUUGGCAGCACCUGAGGUGGGCCUCCCUCUGCACCUUCUCCUCUACAGCUGCCAGGGAGGAACACGCAGCGACCGGGGAGCCGCAGGGAGCCGAGUGUCGGAGAGCGCGGAGGUGGAGGACUUUCAAACAAGUGUCACCCAGCCCUGAAGUAAAACAGGGAGGACAGCAUGGUGGGAACAGGUACAGAAGUCCUGCGGUGGACACCUUGAGUUCGAACAUGACAAAGCUACAGUGCCUGAGGACAGCACUUGGAACCCCUAGCACAACCGCCCCAGCAGCCACUCCGUUUAGCCAUGGGUCUGUGCAUGUCGGGGGGGCCAAUUACAGCUGAACCCGAGUGGGUUCAAUUACACGUCAUGACACUGCAGAACGGAACUGAGUGUCUCGUUCAAUGUUGAAGGAACGUUUUCGUGUGGAAGUCUGGAAGUCACUGCUGGCUGUGCUGAAGCUGAGAAAUGAAGUAUGGUGAUGGUCUUCUCUGGGCAACACUGUGAUGUAUGGGGAUAUAGUGAAAUAAGCUAAUCUUUAUCUUUUUUUUCAGAGCUA